This 305-nucleotide ribosomal RNA is filed under the name uncultured bacterium. RNAcentral's name for it is "bacterial SSU rRNA". It matches the Rfam family "Bacterial small subunit ribosomal RNA", at positions 338 to 660 of the family's 1533-position model. The record is from RNAcentral.
CCUACGGGGCGCAGCAGUAGGGAAUCUUCGGCAAUGGACGAAAGUCUGACCGAGCAACGCCGCGUGAGUGAAGAAGUAAUUCGUUAUGUAAAGCUCUAUCAGCAGGGAAGAAAAUGACGGUACCUGAGUAAGAAGCCCCGGCUAACUACGUGCCAGCAGCCGCGGUAAUACGUAGGGGGCAAGCGUUAUCCGGAUUUACUGGGUGUAAAGGGAGCGUAGACGGCAGUGCAAGUCUGGAGUGAAAGCCCGGGGCUCAACCCCGGGACUGCUUUGGAACCUGUGUAGCUAGAGUGCUGGAGAGGCAA